Molecule: non-coding RNA, 20 nt
Filed under: Rattus norvegicus (Norway rat)
Lineage: Eukaryota; Metazoa; Chordata; Mammalia; Rodentia; Muridae
Source: RNAcentral
UGGUGACAAUGAUCCAGGUC